RNAcentral lists this unclassified non-coding RNA (373 nucleotides) under uncultured bacterium. RNAcentral's name for it is "contains 16S-23S intergenic spacer region". The record is from RNAcentral.
UCCGGCUUAUCACCGGCAGUUUCUUUAGAGUGCCCAACUAAAUGAUGGCAACUAAAGACGAGGGUUGCGCUCGUUGCGGGACUUAACCCAACAUCUCACGACACGAGCUGACGACAACCAUGCACCACCUGUGAACCGGCCCCAAAAGGAGAAACCACAUCUCUGCGGCGGUCCGGUCCAUGUCAAGCCCAGGUAAGGUUCUUCGCGUUGCCUCGAAUUAAGCCACAUGCUCCGCCGCUUGUGCGGGCCCCCGUCAAUUCCUUUGAGUUUCGGUCUUGCGACCGUACUCCCCAGGCGGAGUGUUUCACGCGUUAGCUGGGCCCCUGAUCCGCGUAGACCAAGGGCGAACACUCAUCGUUUACGGCAUGGACUA